GGGUCAGUAGGUUGGUCGUGCCACAGGUACGUACUGGUCUCACUGAUUCCUCCUUCCUGAAGAACCGUAAUGCCAUUAAUUUGGUGUUGCGGGGAAACAGGACCGUUACUUUGAAAAAAUUAGAGUGUUUAAAGCAAGCUAACGCUUGAAUACAUUAGCAUGGAAUAAUGAAAUAGGACGAUCGAUCCUAUUUUGUUGGUUUCUAGGAUUGACGUA
RNAcentral lists this ribosomal RNA (216 nucleotides) under Glomeromycotina sp. Its description in RNAcentral is "partial small subunit ribosomal RNA". The stretch from base 40 to 216 matches the Rfam family "Eukaryotic small subunit ribosomal RNA", at positions 686 to 864 of the family's 1831-position model. Lineage: Eukaryota; Fungi; Glomeromycota. The record is from RNAcentral.